GCCCAUCUAGCCCACUUGGUAGAGCACAAGGCUUCUAACCAUGUGGUCGUGGGUUCAAGCCCCAUAGUUUGCA
Non-coding RNA from Zea mays, 73 nucleotides. Lineage: Eukaryota; Viridiplantae; Streptophyta; Magnoliopsida; Poales; Poaceae. The record is from Rfam.